UACGGAGGGUGCGAGCGUUGUCCGGAAUCACUGGGCGUAAAGGGCGCGUAGGUGGCGCGGGCAGUCAACGGUGAAAAGUUCGGGGCUCAACCCUGAAUCGGCCGUCGAUACUCCCGGGCUUGAGCACUGUAGAGGGCAGAUGGAAUUCCGGGUGUAGCGGUGGAAUGCGUAGAGAUCCGGAAGAACACCGGUGGCGAAGGCGGUCUGCUGGGCAGUAGCUGACACUGAGGCGCGACAGCGUGGGGAGCAACAGG
RNAcentral lists this ribosomal RNA (254 nucleotides) under uncultured bacterium. RNAcentral's name for it is "partial 16S ribosomal RNA". It matches the Rfam family "Bacterial small subunit ribosomal RNA", at positions 524 to 775 of the family's 1533-position model. The record is from RNAcentral.